RNAcentral lists this transfer RNA (67 nucleotides) under Marmota monax (woodchuck). RNAcentral describes it as "tRNA.Asp". The record is from RNAcentral. Lineage: Eukaryota; Metazoa; Chordata; Mammalia; Rodentia; Sciuridae.
GGUUGUGGCUCAUUGGUAGAGUGCUUGCCUAUCAUGUGUGAGGCACUGGGUUUGAUUCUCAGCACCA